This 855-nucleotide long non-coding RNA is filed under the name Marmota monax (woodchuck). Lineage: Eukaryota; Metazoa; Chordata; Mammalia; Rodentia; Sciuridae. The record is from RNAcentral.
CCAGAGGGAGAAGAAGAGCAGUGGGUGGGAUCUGAGCCCCUACCUCCUCCUGGUAACAGGAGUUUAAACUUUUUACAAUUGCUUCCUGAGUUAAUUUUUAACCUGCACAACUAGUUUCAGGACUGUCCAAUCCCAGGUCCUCAGUCUCCAAUGACUAAGCUGCCCUCCUGUACCCUGUGAAAUUUGCACCCCUUCUGUAACCAGGGGCCUUUCCUGCCCAGAGAGGGAUCCCCAGGGCCUGAGGGAUGGACUCUGGGGAGUGAGAGCUGACCUGUUGGCUGUGUUUCCCUCCUGGUUAUCUGUGCUUCCACAGGGUGCUGAACCUUGUGGCUGCUUCUGCUUACACUUUGGGUGUCCCUCCUGUGCUUCUCGCACCUGUUCCUGGGUGACUGAGUGGGGCCUGGAGAGUUACCCUGCUCUCACAGAGGCAAAGGUCUCUGGGGGUCCUUCCCAUUGGGAGGUUUGGGGUGAUAGACCAGGAUGCAAGAAAAGACCACUGACUCCAAUUAAAAUCAAAUUAAAGCAAGCUUAUUAUUUCGACUGGCCUGGCUGCUUCUCCCUCCCAAAACAUCGGGAACAAGACAGCACCCCACCUGAAAGGAAAGUGACCACAACACUCGGAACAACCAAAAGAUCUUUAUUGCAGCAGUGCAACAAAGAGAAAGGAAGGAAGGAAAGAGAGAGAAAAGAGAAGAGAUGAACAGGGAGAGAGCAAGAGCAAGAGAGAGACAGAGAGCACGCGUAAGAAAGAUAAAGAGCAAGAGAGAGAGAGCAAGAGAGAGAGAGCAAGAGAGAGGGGGCCUGGCAGGAGGGAGUUUUUAUAGCCCAAAUCUAAUGGGGCCUCUGGGUCUGCAA